CUUUACACAUGCAAGUCGGAACGGUAGGAGGGGGCCAACCCCGUUGAGAGGUGGCGAACGGGUGAGUAAUAUAUCGGAACGUGCCCAGUCGGUGGGGGAUAACGUAGCGAAAGUUACGCUAAUACCGCAUACGAUCUAAGGAUGAAAGCGGGGGACUCGCAAGAGCCUCGCGCGAUUGGAGCGGCCGAUAUCAGAUUAGGUAGUUGGUGGGGUAAAGGCUCACCAAGCCAACGAUCUGUAGCUGGUCUGAGAGGACGACCAGCCACACUGGAACUGAGACACGGUCCAGACUCCUACGGGAGGCAGCAGUGGGGAAUUUUGGACAAUGGACGCAAGUCUGAUCCAGCCAUUCCGCGUGCAGGAUGAAGGCCCUCGGGUUGUAAACUGCUUUUGUACGGAACGAAAAGGUUUCUAUUAAUACUAGGAGCUCAUGACGGUACCGUAAGAAUAAGCACCGGCUAACUACGUG
Molecule: ribosomal RNA, 469 nt
Filed under: uncultured bacterium
Lineage: Bacteria
Description: bacterial SSU rRNA
Rfam family: Bacterial small subunit ribosomal RNA
Source: RNAcentral